RNAcentral lists this long non-coding RNA (7254 nucleotides) under Physcomitrium patens. RNAcentral's name for it is "long non-coding RNA (PPAT_LNC004424)". Lineage: Eukaryota; Viridiplantae; Streptophyta; Bryopsida; Funariales; Funariaceae. The record is from RNAcentral.
AGUUGGUAACAGUAGGUUGUUAGUGGAAUAAAUGGUUAAGAAUUCAAAGGUUCAUAACCUUUGGAAUUUGCUCGCUGACGGUCCAUCUUUUGGUAGGAUAAAGAGGUUGAGAAAGGGAAAUCAGGGCCAGACUAAGACAGUCAUAAGCUGGGAUAAGCUUGGUACUACCUCUUUGUUUUUUUUGCAUUUAUUAUUUUCUUAUGAAGAAUUGUGAUUGAGAGAAGGAUUGUUGAAAUUGUGAUUAGAAUAUUGUGGAAUAUGACUUUGUAUUGACUGUUUUGGAAAAAAUCGGUGACCUUAAGAAUUGAGAUUAUCAAAUUGUGUUGUAUUAAGUGAAGAUAUUGAAUUUUGUGUGAUGAAUUGAGAAAUUGAAUAUAAUAAGUAAGCUGGAGAUUAGUAAUUGAAUAUAUAUAAAUUACAAAGAGAGUAAGUGGGAGAUGAAUUAAUAAGAAUAUGGAAGUAUUGUUGAAUUGAUAUUUGUAGAAUGGAUUAUGUGUUGAAUUAAGAUGGAAGUAGUAAGCCUUGGUGUUUUGUAGUUUGAUAAUUGAUUUUAGAUAGCUAAAGUAUAGUCAAUUGUGAUACUAACAAACUUAAUUCAUAUAACUAGUCUUUUUUCAUGUUCAAACCUACCUCUAAUAGUUCAAUUUCUUUGGUAUAUUAAAGCUUGAACACAAUGAGAACAAUAUUUUGGCGCUGCUGCUGGGAAAAUGAUAACAAUAUGAAAUAUUAGAAAUUAAUUGUAUGGAAGAUGGAAUUAUAUGUUGAAUGAAAAUAUGAGAAGAACUAGUUUUAGGAUUACAAAUAUGUGAGUUAUAAUUCAAAGAAGUAUUGAUUUUAUAAAGAAGAAUGAAAGAUUAUAGAUGAUAAUUAUAAAGGAGAGGAUUAUCAAAGAAUUAAUCGAUAAGCGAAAGAAAGAUAGGAGGGGUUACGCACAAGAAAUCUCCUACAGAAACGACAAAAAAGAAUUGUAGGUCGAAGUAAAAUCAAAAGAAGAAAAAUUCAAAUUCAAAUAGCAAAGAGAUCAGUGAUAACACCAAUGGCUAUAGGAGUGCCAGAAGUACCAAUUGCGGUACAAAUAGAAGCAAUAGGAGACAGCAGUACAAGUGUGGCACCAUUACCUACUUUUGAUAGUUGACCGGGCUCUAAUCCCGAUCACCAUAUAUCUCAAUUCUUGAUAGCAUGUAUGGCUAAUAAUAGUAGAAUUGAAGAUAUUUGGUUAAGAUGGUUGUCAAUAAUUUUAAAAGAUAUAGCUUUUGAAUGGUAUAAUCGACAACCAGUGGGUAGAUUUUCCAAUUGAGAGGCCUUGAGGAAUGCCUUUCUAAUCCAUUUUAGACCAAUUGGAUUUGAAGAUCGGCUUAGAGAAAGUUUUAUGAAUAGCAGGAUGUUUGCGGAGGAAACAAUAGAGUCCUAUUAUGGCCAGAUCGUGGAUAUACUUCGUAAAUGGCCAAAUAAUCAAAUACCAGAUGCAUUUAUAUUGUCGAUAUUUAUUAACGGUUUGCAUCUACCAGAAUUAAAAAUGUUUGUAAAAGAGGCUCGACCAGCUAUGGUAGAGGCAUCGUUGGCAUGAGCAAAGCUGUGAGAAGAAUGUCAUUAUGACCAAUUGUUAAUAGUGGGGGCCACGAUGAUUCCAAGUUCAGAAAGCCAACAAAUACAAUCGGAAAAUGUAUCGAUGGGUAAUUAUCCACAAAUGGCUACCUCUAGUGUGAAGAAUGUUAUGUUGCAAAAACCAAUUAAUACUACCCCACUCCAAGCAAUAGCGCUAAUAACAAUGACACCUUAUUUUACAUCACCAAUCUAUCAACAACUGAAGUUGUUCACAAAUGCGACUAUUAAAGAUCCAAAUGAAGCCUUAUUAUUGAAUCUAACAAAGAAGAUGGAAGAAUUGGCCAUGAAUUUAGGUAAAGAUAAGGAGAAACAAUAUAAGGCUUCUAAUACGAGACCUAAUAUAUGGUGUAAUAAUUAUAAGGGGCAAGGUCAUUUUGAUACGAAAUUUCCAUCAUCCAGACAAACGAGUGUUCAAUGUACAUUUUGUGGAGGAAAGCAUCCUACCCAAAACUGUUAGCAUUUACAAAGACAACAACAGUUCAAUAACCAGACGUUAAUACAGCCAACUCAAUGAGAUGUUAAUCAAGUCCAGAUUGGAAAUAUGGGUGGUUGGAAUAGUAAUCGCCCAAAUUGACCUAAUCGUGGCUUUGGGAAUUUCCAAAAUAUUAAUUUUAAUCCAGUUUAUGGAACAAAUAUGUAGAACGAUGGAAAUAAUCAAGUGGAUAAUCUUCAAACUAUACCAAUUCAGUAGUCCAAUUCUCGAGCAAUAGCAACUGAUGAACUAUGAUCAUUUACUAUGGCUACUUGGAAUUGGCCUAGUAAAUAUAUUCCAGUGGAGACUCCAAGUGUAUUUGACGAUAUGGGUCGAAAACCACUUUGUUGCUAUCAAUGUCAGAAAAUUAGUUAUUAUGCCAGUGAAUGCCCUAAUCUAAGGUUUAUAGAUGAAUAUGCUAGAAUAUGUAGAAAUUACAAGCAAUCGGAUCAUUUUUAUUAUCAAUGCAAUGUUCCACUUAACCCUAAUAAUUAUGAUCAGAAGAUACAAUCGACUCUGUAAAUUAUAGAAGAAAAAAAUAACGAGACACAAGAAUCACCAAUUCAUUGGGUGGAAGUAGUCCAAGCUAUCCUUACAAAAAAUUAGCAAAGGGAUAAAGGACCAAUUCAAAUAUUGGAGGAACCAAUUCUUAUAAAUUGCGAUGGACUAUUAUUGGACAAAAGUAAUCCAGUAUAAUUUUUGAGUAGAAAUCUAAUAUUAGAUAUGGAUCAAUCCUCUCUAUUUAAUCCUGUUAAUAUAUUUGGUCGACCACCAAAUUUCAAGGAACCAAUAUCAGUCCAAUUAGGAGAACAAUCUUAUCCAUUGAAAGAACCGAUUUUACAUACUCCGUCAAAUUUAGUUCCAGUAGCUUUACCAAUUUCUAAUAUAGAGAAAAUCAAUUUACUUACGUCGGUGUCUAGGACUGGGAAGAAGAAACGGAUAUUGGAAAUUACUACUAAUACAGAACCAUAUGAUAUUCUAAAAGAUUUGGGCACCAUACAACCCACGAUCUCUAGGAAGCAACUAUUGGCGGUAGCACCUGAAUACUGAACUAUCUUGAAUUCCUCAUUAAUUUGUCACAGAUUUCGAAAUAAAGAAAUCCGAGAAGUAAGUUUGAAUCUCGAUCCGAGUGCUCCAACAAUUGAUGUCUCAAUUGAUGGAGUAUUAGUAUCUGGAGUGCAAGUAAAUGGAGGAUCUAAUAUAAAUCUUAUGAAUGUCGCUACAAUAGAAGAAUUAGGUUUGAAUCACUUAUUGCUUACUACAGUGGUUUUGAGAAUGGCUAAUUCCAAUCGAGUUAAACCUAUGGAUAUUUUACGAAGUAUUGAUAUAGUAAUUGUGGGAAUUACUUACAAAAUUGAUUAUAUUAUUUUUCGAUUACAGAGCUCUAUAUUGUCAUACCCAAUUUUAUUGGGGCAACCAUGGUUGUAUCAAGCUAAAGCUCGAAAUGAUUGGAGCCAUGGUACAUUGACAAUUGAGAAAGGUAAUGAUAAAAUUGUGCUUCAAAUGUACUGUGUCCAAUAUCAUGAAGAAACUCAAUUUGCCAGUUCAAAAUUCACGUCGGAUUGUGAAGAUGAGUCUAUAGAAGAAAAAAUUAGUGCAUCUGCUCCAAUUUAUGCAUGUUACAGGUGUUUGAGCAUUUGUCGAUCAUGUCAGUUAUUAUCAGCAAUUUACAUAUCUAUUUGCAGUUAUAUGCCUUCUCUUGACAAAUCUCUUGAAGAAACCACCAACCGAUGGGACCAGUCCAAUUUGGACAAAGAAAUGUAUAAUUGCAUUUGAAACAUUGAAACAAAAAUUGGUUUCAGUACCAAUAUUGGUGGUACUUUGUUGAACAAAACCAUUCUAAGUUUAUAUAGAUGCAUCUAAUAUUACGAUUGAUUCUGUGCUAAGCUAGAAAGAUGAUCAGGAUUUUGAUCACCCUAUUUAUUAUGUAAGUCGUCAAUUGGUAGCAGUUGAAAGAAAUUAUACAACAACCAAAAGAGAAGCAUUGGGGAUGAUUUAUUCCAUAUAAAAGUUACGACAUUAUCUUCUUGGUUAUAAAUUUGUUUUCGAUGUCAACCUUGAUGCUUUAAAAUAUAUGAUUAAUAAGCCUCAAUUGAGUGGUUGUAUUGCAUGAUGGAUUUUACUCUUAAAGAAAUUUGACUUUACUAUUCAGGUAAGACUAGAAAAAUCACAUUCCAAUGUGGACCAUUUAUCUCAGUUAUUCAAUAUAUUGGAUAAUGAAGCCAUUAACGAUACACUACCCAAUGCAAAAUUGUUUGCGGUAGAUGUAAUUACUCUGGAGUAUAGUGAAAUAAUUCAAUACUUGACAUUUCAAACCUUUCCACCCAAUUUUAAUGAAAAGAUUAUACGACGCUUAAUAUUAAAAUGUGCACCUUAUAUGAUGAUUGGUGAAGCUUUAUAUAAACAAGGCAAGGAUGGAGUUUUGCGAUGCUGUAUUUAUCAGAGUGAAGUGAGUAAUAUAUUGGAAGGUUGCUACUUAGACAUUUGUGGUGGAUAUUUUGCAGAGGACAACAGGGCCCAUAAAGCUUUAUAGGCUGGUUAUUGGCGGCCAACUAUGUUUGCAGAUGUCCACCAAUUCGUUUGUCAUUGUGACCUAUGUCAGAGAAUGGAUCAAACUAUUGGAACUUCAACAAUGCCAUUGUUUCAGGAGCAGGAAUAGAUUGGGACACUAAGUUGUUUACAGCUUUAUAGGCAUACCAUACUGCGUAUAAAGUUACUACCAAUACUACUCCUUUUCAAUUGAUUUAUAGCCAGGAAGCAAUAUUAUCUAUUGAAUUGGAAGUCCAAAGUUAAUGAAUUGCUAUAGAUAAUAGUUUGAGAGAUCAUGAUUUAUUACGGCACCGUUUAGAAGAAUUAGAAAAAUUGGAUGAAACUAGAGCCAAUGUAUUAAUGAUAAUGAAAACUACACAAAAAUAAAGGAAGACUUAUUAUGAUAGUAAGCUUAGAGUAAAGGCUUUUAUGCCAAAUGAUUUGAUACUUCUUUUUGAUAGUCAAUUUAAAAAUUUUCUUGAAAAAUUUCAAAUUCAAUGGCAUGGGCUAUAUCGAGUUAGUGACAGAUUUCCAAAUGGUUCAGUGUAAUUGGAAGAUUUUAUGGGUACUAAUUUUAUGACAUAGAUCAAUAACAAUCGCCUUAAACUUUACUAUAUAUAAAUCCAGGAUGGAUUUUCUGUUACAAUAGGGGGGGGGAUAAAUAAUGAUGAUGAUAUGGUAAUAAAUGUAAGGUGAUAAGAAGUGUGAGAAAUAUGGAUGGGAUUAGUGAUAGUGGUAGUAAAGACUGGUUGUCAGACCUAGUUACUAGGAUAUUUCAUCAUGACAAAUCGUGGAAAAUAAGGGAGAGUCGACCCAAUUGAUUGGACCAUAGUAAGAAGUAGGAGGGAGGCCCUUGACGAACAUCUUAUUUCUUUUGUGUAAGCAGCCGUGUAUGUGUGUUUUGAGAGAUUAGUUGUAAGUACUUGCUUGUGUUAGAAUACAAUGGCGAUUGAGAAGACUAAGAGGGAGUUGAAUAGGGAGGAGAAAUAGCACAAUGUAAGGCACAAGGAUGAGUUGCUACCAUUGGAGUAUAUUAUUGUGACAAAUAUGGAGCCGAUUUGAUUGGAUGUUUGUUAGACUAAAGAAAACUAGCAGGAUUUUUGAGGAGCAUAUAUGCAUGGAUUUUUGUACAUUUUGCAAAACUUACUACCAAUUGACGUUGCAUUGGUCGAGGUUAGGAUUAAGGAGAAGUAGAUGGUGGAAAAGAAGAAGGUGGUGAACAUGGUGUCUAAGAAAGUAAAGAUGGAGACCGAUUGGAAGGAACGGCAAGAGCGACUGCAGGUACAGGUUGCGAUGUUGUAAACUAAACCAGCCGCAUUAGAGAAGGAGGCCAAUAAUUUAGUGUCGACUAAUAUGCCAAUUUCAGUGACAACACCUUCGAAGAUACCUUUAAAAUAGACAAAAGAAUGGCAGAAGAUGUUGGAGGAGCACGAUAAUCAAAUUACUCGUCUUGAGUUUCAAGUACGAGAAUUGGAUUUGUUGAAUGAAGAUCUGACGGCACGUUUGGAUUGAGAACCCUUGAACACUGAGGUAGAUAACAAAGAUGUAAUAGAGGAGGAGGUCACUAAUUCAAAGGGUGGUAAGCCAACACCAUUGACUGAAGAAGCUAACGUUGCUACAUCUUUAUAAGUUGAAGCUAAAUAAUGUUUGUGAGAGCGCUGCACAAUUAGGAGUGGGACUAUGUAGAAUAUGUAAGUAAAUUUUGUGAUAAUUUUUUGAUUGGUUAUUAAUAACCUUGACAAUUAGACUUAUGAUUAGGUAGUUUAGUUAGUAACAAUAGGUUGUUAGUGGAAUAAAUGGUUAAGAAUUCAAAGAUUCAUAACUUUUGAAAUUUGCUAGCCGACGGUCCAUCUUUUGAUAGGAUAAAGAGGUUGAAAAAGGGAGAUCGGGGCCAGACUGUGAUAGUCGUAAGCCGAGAUAAGCUUGGUGCUACCUUUUUGUUUUAUUUGCUUUUAUUAUUUUCUUACGAAGAAUUGUGAUUGAGAGAAGGAUUGUUGAAAUUGUGAUUGAGAGAAGGAUUAUUGAAAUUGUGAUUAGUAUAUUGUAGAAUAUGACUUUGUACUGACUGUUUUGAAAAAAAUCUGUGACCUUGAGAAUUGAGAUUAUCAAAUUGUGUUGUAUUAAGUACAGAUAUUAAAUUUUGUGUGAUGAAUUGAGAAACUGAAUAUGAUAAGUAAGCUAGAGAUUAGUAAUUGAAUAUAUAUAAAUUACAAAGAGAGUAAGUGGGAGAUGGAUUAAUAAGAAUAUAAAAGUAUUGUUGAAUUGAUAUUUGUAGAAUAGAUUAUAUGUUGAAUUAAGAUGGAAGUAGUAAGCCUUGGUGUUUUGUAGUUUGAUAAUUGAUUUUAGAUAGCUAGAGUAUAGUCAAUUGUGAUACUAAUAGACUUAAUUCAUAUACUCAGUCUUUUUCCAUGUUCAAACCCACCUCUAUUAGUUCAAUUGCUUUAGUAUAUUGAAGCUUGAACACAAUGAAAAUAAUAAUAUCCAAUCACUUUUAUGAAUUUUUUGUAGCCUUAAGCAAUAUUGUUUAUCAAAUCUAUCUUUGUUCUUUAAGUAUGUCUCUUUUAAAUUUACAAUUUUUUUUUCUAUGUCCUCAGGCUUCCUCUCUAGCUAACAAAUUUGAAGUAUAAGAAGUUUUUUAUUAGACAUAU